ACCGCUUCAAAUGGAAUUGAAAGAAGGUAAAAACAAACAGCUUGUUUUCUUUAUUUCGUUUUUUUGGGUUCAAUUCAGAUCUAAACCAGACAAAGAAGAAGAGUUAUUUAUUUCGCAACACACAGGGAUGGAGAGUGACGAUGACAUAAGGAGAGUGCCUGAUUACGGAGGUGGAGCUUCUACUUCCAACAGAGGAGAACAUACUGCGGCGACUUGGAUUGGUGGUAGUCAAACCCCAAGUGAAGUGGCAACCGGCAAUACCAUCCAAAGGAAAAGAGGACGGACUCCGGCCGACAAAGAACAUAAACGUCUGAAGAGGUAGUAAUAAAAUUAGAAGCUAGAAGAAGAAUAACAACACGUGCAGAUUUAGAAAAAUUGAACCGUGUGUCUUUGUUCGAUUGGGUUCAGGUUGCUGAGGAACAGGGUGUCUGCACAGCAAGCUAGAGAGAGGAAGAAGGCUUAUCUUACAGAUCUGGAGGGUAAAGUGAAUGAUCUUGAGAAGAAAAACUCCCAACUUGAAGAAAAACUC
Molecule: long non-coding RNA, 529 nt
Filed under: Zostera marina
Lineage: Eukaryota; Viridiplantae; Streptophyta; Magnoliopsida; Alismatales; Zosteraceae
Description: long non-coding RNA (ZMAR_LNC004464)
Source: RNAcentral